Molecule: ribosomal RNA, 492 nt
Filed under: uncultured bacterium
Lineage: Bacteria
Description: partial 16S ribosomal RNA
Rfam family: Bacterial small subunit ribosomal RNA
Source: RNAcentral
AGUGAACGCUGGCGGUAGGCCUAACACAUGCAAGUCGAACGGCAGCACAGUAAGAGCUUGCUCUUACGGGUGGCGAGUGGCGGACGGGUGAGGAAUACAUCGGAAUCUACUUUUUCGUGGGGGAUAACGUAGGGAAACUUACGCUAAUACCGCAUACGACCUACGGGUGAAAGCAGGGGGUCUUCGGACCUUGCGCGAUUGAAUGAGCCGAUGUCGGAUUAGCUAGUUGGCGGGGUAAAGGCCCACCAAGGCGACGAUCCGUAGCUGGUCUGAGAGGAUGAUCAGCCACACUGGAACUGAGACACGGUCCAGACCCCUACGGGAGGCAGCAGUGGGGAAUAUUGGACAAUGGGCGCAAGCCUGAUCCAGCCAUACCGCGUGGGUGAAGAAGGCCUUCGGGUUGUAAAGCCCUUUUGUUGGGAAAGAAAAGCAGCAGGUUAAUACCCCGCUGUUCUGACGGUACCCAAAGAAUAAGCACCGGCUAACUUCGUG